RNAcentral lists this ribosomal RNA (443 nucleotides) under uncultured bacterium. RNAcentral's name for it is "partial 16S ribosomal RNA". It matches the Rfam family "Bacterial small subunit ribosomal RNA", at positions 338 to 795 of the family's 1533-position model. The record is from RNAcentral.
CCUACGGGGGGCAGCAGUGGGGAAUAUUGGGCAAUGGGCGCAAGCCUGACCCAGCAACGCCGCGUGAAGGAAGAAGGCUUUCGGGUUGUAAACUUCUUUUAUCAGGGACGAAGCAAGUGACGGUACCUGAUGAAUACGCCACUGCUAACUACGUGCCAGCAGCCGCGGUACUACGUAGGUGGCAAGCGUUAUCCGGAUCUACGGGGUGUAAAGGGCGGGUAGGCGGGGGUGCAAGUCAGAUGUGAAAGCUAUGGGCUCAACCCAUAGCCUGCAUUUGAAACUGUACUGCUGGAGUGCUGGAGAGGCAAGCGGAAGUCCGGGUGUAGCGGUGAAAUGCGUAGAUAUACGGAGGAACACCAGUGGCGAAGGCGGAUUGCUGGACUGUAACUGACGCUGAGGCGCGAAAGCGUGGGGAGCAAACAGGAUUAGAUACCCCAGUAGUC